This is a long non-coding RNA of Poecilia latipinna (sailfin molly), 599 nucleotides long. RefSeq lists it as uncharacterized. The transcript is spliced from 2 exons. The record is from RefSeq and is a predicted model, not a curated record. NCBI's taxonomy places the organism in Eukaryota, Metazoa, Chordata, Actinopteri, Cyprinodontiformes, Poeciliidae.
CAUCAUCCCUUCUGGAUAUGAUGAUGGAAAGAAGGAUUUAAAAUCAAGAAAAUUAUGGGGCAACCCUGACCAUCCUCUUCAUGAGACUGUAUUAGGAAAACAAUCUCUUUAGUCAGGGGCUUCUUCAAUUUCUCUAGUACAGUUCUCUACCAACAACCAUCUCCAUCAGCAAUAUUUCUCUGAAUGAUUUCAAUUAAUAUGAGUUACAACUACAUUUAAUUUCCAUUUGGGUUCAAUAAAGUGUUAUCCCAACACCGACUCGUGGUGUAUACCGCCACCUACAGUACUGGAGUAUGUAGGACAGAAUUUCCAUCAGCGAAUUAAUUACACCUGUUAGCUUAGCGGUUGCUGUCCUGACCAGCUCUUUUUGGACGAAGGAUGACUUCCCUUUUUGCUUCCAGUGUUUUUUAUUUAUUUAUUUAUUAUCUCUUCAGCAAUGAGCCAGCGUCCAUAUUAACCAUGGCUGGUGUUUGAAGGAAGCUGCAGGUAGCUGAAGUGCAACUUUGGAAAAGCAGGGGCGGUUCUAGGAUCAACUGAAGGUGCCCCUUCUCCACAAAAGCCUGACGAACUUCAAGGAUAUGCACUGCCUAGCCAAAAAA